This 460-nucleotide ribosomal RNA is filed under the name uncultured bacterium. Its description in RNAcentral is "partial 16S ribosomal RNA". It matches the Rfam family "Bacterial small subunit ribosomal RNA", at positions 338 to 795 of the family's 1533-position model. The record is from RNAcentral.
CCUACGGGCGGCAGCAGUGAGGAAUAUUGGUCAAUGGACGAGAGUCUGAACCAGCCAAGUAGCGUGAAGGAUGACUGCCCUAUGGGUUGUAAACUUCUUUUAUAAAGGAAUAAAACGAGGCACGUGUGCCUUUUUGCAUGUACUUUAUGAAUAAGGAUCGGCUAACUCCGUGCCAGCAGCCGCGGUAAUACGGAGGAUCCGAGCGUUAUCCGGAUUUAUUGGGUUUAAAGGGAGCGUAGAUGGGUUGUUAAGUCAGUUGUGAAAGUUUGCGGCUCAACCGUAAAAUUGCAAUUGAUACUGGCAGUCUUGAGUACAGUUGAGGUAGGCGGAAUUCGUGGUGUAGCGGUGAAAGGCUUAGAUAUCACGAAGAACCCCGAUUGCGAAGGCAGCUUACUAAACUGUGACUGACAUUGAUGCUCGAAAGUGUGGGUAUCAAACAGGAUUAGAUACCCUGGUAGUC